UGGGGAAUUUUGCACAAUGGGGGAAACCCUGAUGCAGCGACGCCGCGUGUUUUAUAAGGCCUUCGGGUUGUAAAAAUCUUUUCUAUGGGAAGAAAAUGACAGUACCAUAGGAAUAAGGACCGGCUAAUUACGUGCCAGCAGCCGCGGUAAUACGUAAGGUCCGAGCGUUGUCCGGAAUCAUUGGGCGUAAAGGGUACGUAGGCGGGUAAGCAAGUUAGAAGUGAAAUCCUAUAGCUCAACUAUAGUAAGCUUUUAAAACUGCUCAUCUUGGGGUAUGGAAGGGAAAGUGGAAUUCCUAGUGUAGCGGUGAAAGGCGCAGAUAUUAGGAGGAAUAACGGUGGCGAAGGCGACUUUCUGGCCAUAACCUGACGAUGAGGUACGAAAGCGUGGGUAGCAAACAGG
Molecule: ribosomal RNA, 402 nt
Filed under: bacterium
Lineage: Bacteria
Description: partial 16S ribosomal RNA
Rfam family: Bacterial small subunit ribosomal RNA
Source: RNAcentral